This 9211-nucleotide long non-coding RNA is filed under the name Nicotiana benthamiana. Its description in RNAcentral is "long non-coding RNA (NBEN_LNC010899)". The record is from RNAcentral. Lineage: Eukaryota; Viridiplantae; Streptophyta; Magnoliopsida; Solanales; Solanaceae.
ACCUGGACACACUUAAUGGGAUCUAAAAGCAAUGCUUUUUCUUUGCUUAAGUCAUUCCUGUGUUUGGUUAAAACCCAAUUUGAUGCUGUGGUUCAAACUGUUUGAAGUGACGAUGCUUUAGAAUUGGGGUCUAGCAUUGAGGGUACAUCUUUCUUUAGUAGCCAGGGGAUUAUUCAUCAAACCACCUGCCCUCAUUCUCCUCAACAGAAUGGUGCUGUUGAAAGAAAGCAUAGAACCCUUCUUGAAACAUGUAGAGCUUUACUUUUCCAAUCUUGGCUACCUGUGUCUUUCUGGGGGGACUAUUUGUUGACUGCCACUUACCUCCUUAACAGAAUACCAUCCAGAUUGCUUCACAAUAAGUCUCCUAAUGAAAUUUUGUAUGGGAAAGCUCCGAUCUUGCUUCCAAGAAAUGUUUUGUUUCCAAAGAUGUUAUAUUCCAUGAAACCUGUUUUCCUUUCAAACUGCAUCCUCUUCUGUUCAUCCUGCUCCUUCAUCCUUUCCUUUUGUUCCACCUGUAGAACAUUCUACUGAUCCAGAUCCUUCCAUUCCUAUCUCCUCUCCUCUUCCUCCUACAUCUGUUCAAGCACUUCAUCAUGUUGCUCCAAAUUCUACUGAUCCUGCUUUCAUUCCUUCUUUCAAUCCAAUCCUGAUAUCUCUCCUCCUGCUUUGGCCUCUUCCCCAUCUUUUCCUGCUCCCAGAAAAUCUCAAAGACAGCAUAAUCCUCCCUCUUACCUUAAGGAUUAUGUCUNNNNNNNNNNNNNNNNNNNNNNNNNNNNNNNNNNNNNNNNNNNNNNNNNNNNNNNNNNNNNNNNNNNNNNNNNNNNNNNNNNNNNNNNNNNNNNNNNNNNNNNNNNNNNNNNNNNNNNNNNNNNNNNNNNNNNNNNNNNNNNNNNUCACUCUAUAUUACUCUCAAGCUGCAUCUGUUCCAGCAUGGCAGGAUGCCAUGAGAAAGCAGUUUGAUGCUUUGGACACAAACCAUACUUGGAAUGUUGUUCCUCUUCCUCCUGGUAAGAAACUCAUUGGCUGCAAAUGGGUUUAUAAAAUCAAAUACAAGGCUGAUGGCAGUGUUGAAAGGUAUAANNNNNNNNNNNNNNNNNNNNNNNNNNNNNNNNNNNNNNNNNNNNNNNNNNNNNNNNNNNNNNNNNNNNNUGCUGUGGCUGUCAAAAAUCAUUGGAAUUUAUUUCAACUGGAUGUUAAUAAUGCUUUCUUACAUGGUGAUUUGGAUGAGGAGGUUUAUAUGAAACUCCCUCCAGGUUUGACAGUUUCUGCUCUUGAUUCUGUUUCUGCCUCCUCUGCCUCUACUCCCCUUGUUUGCAAAUUGAAUAAAUCUCUGUAUGGGCUGAGACAGGCAUCCAGCCAAUGGUAUGCCAAAUUGUCUUCUGCCCUCUAUUCCAGAGGCUAUAGACACUCUUUGAAUGAUUAUUCUCUGAUCAUCAAAGGUACACCAGGGUCCCUUGUGAUUGUAGUCUAUGUGGAUGAUAUUAUUCUUACUGGGGAUGACAGUGAUGAGAUUGGUGCCCUGAAACUGUUUCUGGAUGAUCAGUUCAAAAUUAAGGACCUAUGGUCUUUGCAUUAUUUUUUAGGCAUACAGAUGUCAGUUGUUCCUGGUGGGAUGAUCCUUAAUCAGCAUAAAUAUAUCUCUGACAUGCUGCAUCAGUUUAACUGUGCCAGUGUCUUCUGUUGUCUGUCCUUUGGACAUUAAUGCCAAACUUCAUGCUGAAUCUGGUGACCUUUUACCUUGUCCUGAUCAGUAUAGGAGUCUUGUUGGUAAGCUCUUAUUUUUUACUCAUACUAGGCCUGACAUCUGUUUUGCUGUGCAACAUCUGAGUCAGUUUCUGAAAUGUCCCNNNNNNNNNNNNNNNNNNNNNNNNNNNNNNNNNNNNNNNNNNNNNNNNNNNNNNNNNNNNNNNNNNNNNNNNNNNNNNNNNNNNNNNNNNNNNNNNNNNNNNNNNNNNNNNNNNGUGUUGAGAUAUCUUAAAGGUACCUCCUCUAUGGGUCUUUUUUAUUCUGACUGCAAUGAUUUCUCUGUUGUUGGUUAUUCUGAUAGUGACUGGGCUACCUGCCCUGAUACAAAGAGAUCUGUUACUGGGUUCUGUAUUGUUCUGUGUGGUUGCCUGAUUAGUUGGAAAUCAAAGAAGCAACCAGUGGUUUCUUUGUCUUCUGCUGAGGCUGAAUAUAGGGCCCUCAGUAAGGUUGUUGCAGAAUUGUCUUGGCUGUCUCGUUUAUUUNNNNNNNNNNNNNNNNNNNNNNNNNNNNNNNNNNNNNNNNNNNNNNNNNNNNNNNNNNNNNNNNNNNNNNNNNNNNNNNNNNNNNNNNNNNNNNNNNNNNNNNNNNNNNNNNNNNGUCUAUCAUUCUUAAUUGAUUAUUCUCUUUUCUGUGCUUUGCGACAGUCAGGCUGCUAUUCACAUAGCUAAGAACCAUGUUUUUCAUGAACGGACUAAACACAUUGAAGUGGAUUGUCACUUUGUGCACGAUCAGCUCCAGAAUGGCCUCAUUCAGCUGUUUCAUGUUCCUACUUCUCGUCAACUUGCUGACCUCCUGACCAAGCCUUUGCCUGACACUGUGCUUCAUCCUUUGCUGCUUAAGUUGCAGGUGGUUUCCCCCUCCAACUUGAGGGGGGGGUGUUGAGAUGAGGGAAUAUAUGGCUUCCAAGCCCAAAGCAUAAGUGACAUAGACCUGUAUAUUCAUUGUAUAUUCAUUGUAUAUUUAUUAUAUGUUCAUGGUAUACAUUGUAUAUAUAGGUGAGUAUUGUAGUUGGCUGUGAUGAUUAUUGUUGUUGGACUGUGAGUAUCUGAGCCCGAGUUUAUUUUAAUAUUGGGCCGUCUGACCCGACCCAAGACUGGUGUGAUGUAUAUAUACCUGUACAGAGAUAUUUUGUAAUCAAUCGAUUCAUUUUCCUUGGCAGAGUUUCUCGAUCUUCUAGAGAGUUCUCUCAACUACUCUCUUUUUCUCUCUUCUUUCUCUCACUAUAUCCUUCAUGUUCUUCAGCUUAAUCUUCACGUUUUCAUGGUAUCAGAGCCGGAUGAUCUUCGGAUCCUUCUUGGUUGCGUGUGAUCGAUCAUGUUCGACCUUCCGCUUAAUCUUCACGUUUUCAAUUACUAAAAUAAUUUUCUAAAUAUUAAAUCAUGUAACUCCUUCCAUGUAGUAAAGUUUUAUGUAAUUUCACCGAAAAACUAUUUUUCCUUAGAGCUCUAUCUUUUGACUUCCUUUAUAAAAAUUUUAUUCCAAGGUUGGUUGGUCGGUGACUAAGCAUUGUGUGAGAGUUGAGAUCAUAUCCAUCAAAGAACAAUUUCCUAACACUCUGGCCUUCAAGUACAAGGCGAUUAUCUAACUAUUGCCAAAAGCUUUUUUUGGUCCCUACGAAGUUUCUCUCAAAGAAAUAAUUAUUUUUCUUAAAAUGGUAACCAUAAUAAACAUUUUAAUGAUGAGAAAAUUUUAUUUUAAUAAUACCAUUGUAUACAUGGGCGAUUGUAAUGAAAGGUUUUAUUUCACUCUCUAUUCUGUCUUUUGAUAAUUUCUAAGGAAAUUGGCGCUAAUCUCUUUUCGCUCGACUUUGGACUAUAUCUCUAUGCUUUUUCGCACAAUCUUGCUGGUUCCCAUUGGAAUAGAUGAAUCUUCAUUCUAUAAGUAAACAACCAAAAGUCAUAUAUAACUUGAAUGGAUGUGACUGUUAGUGAAUGAGUAUGAAUUGUAGGUUAGCAUUAUUUAUAGGCGUCACAAUUUUUGUAUGUAUAAUAUUUAGGUUAUUUAGAAGGGUAUUUUAGUAGUUUUAAUUUUAAUUUUUGAGAUUCCCUCUUUUAUAAUAAUAUAAAUAGAUAAGAUAUUAGUGGUGAAAAAUUAAUCGAAGUUGAUGUUUAUACCACAUGGAGCACAUAGUCACAUAUACAAUUAUAAAUUUAUGGUCAUUUGUUUCACUUUAUGUGGCAAAUGCAAACAAAUACGAAGUUUACAAAAAAAAUAUACGUAGUCUUAGAUAUUUUAUAGUAAUAUUUAUAUGACUAUAAUGCUUUUAAAAUUUAUAAUAUUAAAUAUGUCAUAAGUUUUAUAUUGUUCUAAAAGUUUCUCAUUGAAGAUAAAAUUAACAGGUUAAAUGGUCCAAAUCAAAAUUUUAUCAUUAUUUGAAAAACGAAAGGUUGUUGAAGCCAUUUUCACGCCUAAUAACAUGUUUAAAGUUAGCUUAUAUUUUUCAAAGGCAGAAUACAUCGGCGGCCCCUUAAAGUUAUCAUCACUUUUCACUAGGCACUCUAUAUUAAAUUUGUUCCAUUUGAAUACUUAACCAAGACUUUAUUGUGUCAUUUAGAUACAAAAUUUGUAGUCAUCCAAACACAAAAGACGCAUGUAAUUCACACGCUAAAGUGAAGAAUAAAGCAAGCAGACAUGGAUUUAACUUUAGAGUUAAAAAUAAUUUGGAAAUAAAAUAAAAUAUAGUGAAAACGAGAAACCCACCCCACGUAUCAUCAUCUUUCUUAAUAGACUAAUCCUCAACCAUGUUUGCUCGACCUCUGAAAUUGUUACCGGCUUUCACCUUGAGCAAAUUUUGCUCUAUCAAAAUUCUUCCCCUUGUCAUUCACCAAAGCUUGCAAAAGCUUUAAUUAUCUCAAAUGCCAUGAAUCUCCCAAAAGAAAAGUCCGGCGAAUUUAACAAACGAACAUGGAGGCUCUGCCUAUCAUGGCCUAAAUUUUUCCACAAGUGAAUCAAUUAGUGAUCUAUUUUUGUUCAAUUCCUUUUUAUUAAGGCUAUAAUGUACCGAGGCCAAUCUAUAUUAGAUAGUGGUAGAAGUGGAGCAUGGUAAAUCGAGAUCUGGUUGACUAAUGAUGAAAUAAAAGGUGGAUCCUAGUUAAAUACAAUGAAUUCUAGAUCUAAUGUUGGAAGAUAUUGGCGAGACGAACAUCAUCUGAGAAUAUUAAAUAGCAGAUGUUUAUUCGAUGAUUACCAAUAAAUAUUGUAACAUGAAUAUUCAACAAAUGUAGAUAAUGACAAUAAAUGUCGUAACAAAGAAUCUGUCACCCCACUAUUAUAUGAUUUGGAUGAUUCUUCCACUUGACAGCAACGUAGAAGGAUGAGAAGUAAGGAUGGAUCAAGAAUCUUUGGAUCUUGUGACACAAAUUAAAUAACAUAUGCUUGAAUAAGAUAAUCAGCGAAUAAGACAACUUUUGUAUAUAUUCUCCCUAGUCAAUCUUUUACAAUGUGCUCUUAUCAAAAAGUAAAGGUCCCUUUUUGUUCUCUAUCUCUUCCUAUUUAUAAGAGAUAUUCCCUAGAAACCCUAAAAAGUACAACAUAUGAGAUAUCCAAAGAAAUAUUCCUUAUGUCCAUUUCUAAACCACAUUCCCUAGAAACCCUAAAAAGUACAACAUAUGAGAUAUCCAAAGAAAUAUUCCUUAUGUCCAUUUCUAAACCUAUCAUGCCGUAAGUUCCUUACUUUGGUUGCUCGUCCUUGGCAAUAAUCCUUCUCAGGAUGACUCCUCGCUAUUAUGCCAAUGUCGACCCUGUCCUCAACCAUGUUUAUCUACAAUUAUCAAGUCGCCAAAUUUAGACCAAUACAGUUAGUUUCUCUGCUUGUUGAGGUCGUGAUCUUGCACGCCCUCGAUAAGCAGACCAGGUCUGCAUCCGUUUAGAAGAAAUUUGGCUAUGUUAAUUAGGUCAAAUCAGUCGAGGUCAAGAAAAAUAGCGUGGCCAGCGAGGUUGCAGUUGGUGUGGCUAACGUUGGGUGACGUCAUGACCACGCACAUCAUCAUUACCUGUCUUUCCAAUGAAGUAUCUGUGCUUUUGUUGUUUCAAUUUUGGUGCCAUUGACGGUCUGUUGCUUCAAUUCCGACACAACUCAACCCUAUAAAUAGAUUGGGGGGCUUCAUUUUUGAAUUUUUUUAUCAUUUCUCAUUUCACAUCUUCAUUGAUUUUCUUAUCUUCUUCUCCAAUCUCCGCUGUCAAUUCUUUGUAGCCUCUUCAAUUUUAAUCCCUAACUUCUUACCUAGUCAACAUCUUCUACGUUUCGCUAUGGAAAUAUGUCAAAAUCCCCUAGUAUUCAUGAAGAGGUUUUCGAUGCCAAUCCAUAAUCCCUGGCCAUUCCUCCCAGCGGUGAGGAAUUCAUGGUUGAGGAGGAAGAAAGCUUCCCCACCGCGGAAGAGAUAGUCCCCAAGAACCCUUUGGUUAGGCAUGACUUCCCAAAGAAACCCGCUGCUCCUUAUCAGAAGCUUUCUAAGACGGGACCGCCUCACAUAGCCUACCUUCGGUAUAAAUAUCGUAUUCCUCCUCACGUUGAAAUUGUUCCGGGCAGAAGCGGCAUCGCAGAGGUUCAUCAACCCGGAUGUUGUGCUUUAUACGUCUAUCAUUCUUAAUUGAUUAUUCUCUUCCUCUCCUCCCAUUGGCGGAGAAGUUUUACCGAUUUUACAAUGUCUGCCCGGCGCAACUCUUUCCUUAUUUGUAUAAAGUUUUCUUGAUGCUGGCGAAGUAUGCAGAGCUGGCCGGCCGUGAGAUCGACGUUCACCACCUACUGUACAUAUUUUCACCUAGCUUUUAUAGAGGUAUUCUGAUACACCUACGACAUUGUGGGACCACGAGAUUGGUGGUAGGGAUGGAUGUCGCACCUCAUUUUGGCUACUACAACCCAGUGAAGGGCGUAGAUAAGGGAGUUUUUCCAAUUAAAGGACAAUCGAGACGAGAUUCAAUUAUUAAAGAGAAUUUUAGAGUCGCCACUUGGGAUAUUUAUGGUAUCCCAAGUCACCGGUUAGAAUCCCGAAUCGAGGAAAAGAAUGACUCUGUUUACAGUCCGCGAACCAAAAAUCCGGAUAAGGAAUUCUGUUAACCCGGGAGAAGGUGUUAGGCAUUCCGGGAUUCCGUGGUUCUAGCACGGUCGAUCAACUGUCAUAUUUGGCUUAAACUAUAUGAUUUUAGAACAUGUUUUAACUUAUGUGCCUUUUGACUUUGAACCGCUUUUAUCAUAUUUUUAAAGAGAAUUGCAAUGUCGUUAAAAUAUGCCUCGAACCACGUCACAUAAAUACACCCGUGGAUUUUGACAUAUUCCAACUUCGUUGAGAUUUGGAUUUGGGUCACAUAAAUGUGCACCCGUAUUUAGGAAAGUGAAUUAUUUAAGAAUGCGCCUAACGCGACUAACGAGUUAUUAAUUUUGUGGGAAGCCAUGAAAAUUCACUAAAUGGCACACCUCGAUUCUAAUUUUAAAGAAUGUUCGAACUACUUUUGAGGGCCAUAGCAUAUGAUUUUUGUUUAUGUAUGGCACAACUCGAAUUUCCUAUAAGAACUACCAAGAAAAAAGUCUGAAAUGCAUGAAAAUUGACCCAGGGUAUUAGUCAUUCUAAUAUGCCAUGGAAAUGGAAUGGGUAACAGAACAUAACUUAAAUAACAAAAAAGAGGUGCAACCUCAAAUAGCUAUGGAAAUAAAGAUAAACAGCAAAACGAGAUAACAUUAACUUUUGGGGUACCUCAGGAUUUAAUAUACACAAGAACAAACCAAACUGUUGCUUCAAAUCCUUCCUUAUCAGCAACAAUAUUAGGCAUGACACACAUUAUAUAUAAGCAUAACCAACAGGCUCUAACUAAAGAUAAUUAGCUCUUCAAUACAUGGCUUUUCACUCAAUUAUUCAAGUAGUUCCCAACCAGUUUCAAACUAAAGAAAAUGCUACUAAACCCAACAUGAUCAAACAAAUAACAACAACAUCUCUAAUUGAAGGCAAAGAAAACAGUUCAAAAGUAUCAAAUACAAGCCGGAAAUGAGUCGGAAUCUCAUAACUGGACAAGCUUCAGUCAAACAUGCCAAACAAUGAAAUUCAGUAAAAUUCACGAGAAAUCGGCAGCACGGAUUAGUACAUUAACUAGCUCACAAACAUCUUCCGUUAAUAAACAAGGAGGAACCUAGUUAUAUUCAAUUAUCCUAAGAACUCAACAUGUGUACCAAGCCGAUUUAGAGAACUCACAAUAGAUCAAAGUUUGAUUAGAACUUCCACCUUAGUGAUAACUAAUAGUCUCGAUACUUAUUUUCAAGAAAAUUUAAGCAUUCAACACGCGAGUUGGUCCCUCAAACAGUUAACCAUAACCUGAAUGCUUCAGUUCUGAUUUCUCACUUUCAAACACAUCCAGCCAACCAUAGAGAAUAUCUGAUGGCAAGAACAGAUCGACAAGUAUCUCUUUCGAGCGCAAAUCGCAACUAGCAGCCAAUUCCAGACCUAAACUCUACUGAUUCAUUCAUAGAAUCCAACUCUAACAUAGCAUCAAACGCAAACAAGAAUUAUUCACAAACAGAAUUGAUCCAGCCUAGAUGACGAUAUUCAAAAUCCAGAUAACCAAUUAACGCAGUUUAAUAAAGAAUGUCGACCAAACCAACACAAAUACCACAAUCCAUCGCAAACAAAACAAUGAGAAGAGAAAGCAUCCACAAACAGAAUUGAUCUAGCCUAAAUGAUGAGACUCAAAAUCCGGAUAAUCAAUUAAAGCAAUUUAAUAAAGAAUGUUGACCAAACCAACACAAACACCAUAAUCCAUCGCAAACAAAACAAUGAGAAGAGAAAGAGCUUAGUUGAACCUGUUGAGUCAAAAUUCUUUAAGGUUUUGAGAAUCCGUAGAUACGAACUUUUGAGUUCAAAUUUCAGACGAAAUCGAGCAUCCAAAAAUGGAAAAUGGAGCUGAACAAAUACAAAUGAACCCGACCCAGCAACGAGGCUCGAACUGAGGUCAUCCUCGAUCAAAUUCCAGCAGAAUCCAUGCUUAUCAACAAUGGCUAAAUCAAACAGGAACCACAGGCAAAAUAGAGACCUCAAACCGGAAACCUCGUCGAAUUCGGAACAGGCUGCCUUCAAUGGUGACUCCACACUACCCAAACUCAAAAUUAGCUGCAAAUCUGUUUGUGUGUAUGCGUCUUUUCUCCGACGUGAAGGAGAUGGAGUAAGGUCCAAUGGUAGUUGUUCGUGUAUUUUUUCAGAAGAAGCCAAGCUGUCAGCCCUUCUUUAAAAUUUUCUAGGCGCCCCUCCCUCUGUGUUGUUUUGCUGUAUAUGCGUCUCUACUGUAUCUCUAUAUUGUGUAUUGUGUGUAUUGUAUUGUGUGUGUGUUUUUGUGAAGAAGCCAAGCCGUCAGCCCUUCCCCCAUUCCGAGGCGUCUCUGCGUAUCUCUCUUCUCUAUCGUGUGUAUGCUUGUAUAUUUUAACGUGUAUUAUGUGUGUGUAUUUUUCAGAAGAAUAGCAAAGCGGCGCAACCUUCAAUUUCCA